UAGGACGAUGGCGACCGGCGCACGGGUGAGUAACACGUAUCCAACCUGCCCUUUACUCGGGGAUAGCCUUUCGAAAGAAAGAUUAAUACCCGAUAGCAUAAUGAUUCCGCAUGGUUUCAUUAUUAAAGGAUUCCGGUAAAGGAUGGGGAUGCGUUCCAUUAGGUUGUUGGUGAGGUAACGGCUCACCAAGCCUUCGAUGGAUAGGGGUUCUGAGAGGAAGGUCCCCCACAUUGGAACUGAGACACGGUCCAAACUCCUACGGGAGGCAGCAUG
RNAcentral lists this ribosomal RNA (273 nucleotides) under uncultured bacterium. RNAcentral's name for it is "partial 16S ribosomal RNA". It matches the Rfam family "Bacterial small subunit ribosomal RNA", at positions 81 to 353 of the family's 1533-position model. The record is from RNAcentral.